Acanthosepion pharaonis is the source of this 113-nucleotide non-coding RNA. The record is from the annotation of a GenBank genome assembly. NCBI's taxonomy places the organism in Eukaryota, Metazoa, Mollusca, Cephalopoda, Sepiida, Sepiidae.
UUACGGCCAUAUCAUAUUGAAAUAUCGUUUCUCGUACGAUCACCGUAGUUAAGCAAUGCCAAGCCUGGUCAGUACCUAGAUGGGUGAGUGCUUGGGAAUACCAGGUGCUGUAA